RNAcentral lists this ribosomal RNA (385 nucleotides) under uncultured bacterium. RNAcentral describes it as "bacterial SSU rRNA". It matches the Rfam family "Bacterial small subunit ribosomal RNA", at positions 30 to 417 of the family's 1533-position model. The record is from RNAcentral.
AUUGAACGCUGGCGGCAUGCCUUACACAUGCAAGUCGAACGGCAGCACGGGGCAACCUGGUGGCGAGUGGCGAACGGGUGAGUAAUGCAUCGGAACGUGCCAUUGAGUGGGGGAUAACGUAGCGAAAGUUGCGCUAAUACCGCAUAUUCUGUAAGCAGGAAAGCAGGGGGACCGCAAGGCCUUGCGCUCUUUGAGCGGCCGAUGUCAGAUUAGCUAGUUGGUGAGGUAAAGGCUUACCAAGGCGACGAUCUGUAGCGGGUCUGAGAGGAUGAUCGCCACACUGGAACUGAGACACGGUCCAGACUCCUACGGGAGGCAGCAGUGGGGAAUUUUGGACAAUGGGGGCAACCCUGAUCCAGCCAUGCCGCGUGAGUGAAGAAGGCCU